UAGUGCGGCGAGCGAGCGGGAAGAGCUCAAAUUUAUAAUCUGGCACCUUCGGUGUCCGAGUUGUAAUCUCUAGAAGUGUUUUCCGCGUUGGACCGCACACAAGUCUGUUGGAAUACAGCGGCAUAGUGGUGAAACCCCCGUAUAUGGUGCGGACGCCCAGCGCUUUGUGAUACACUUUCAAUGAGUCGAGUUGUUUGGGAAUGCAGCUCAAAUUGGGUGGUAAAUUCCAUCUAAAGCUAAAUAUUGGCGAGAGACCGAUAGCGAACAAGUACCGUGAGGGAAAGAUGAAAAGCACUUUGGAAAGAGAGUUAACAGUACGUGAAAUUGUUGGAAGGGAAACGCUUGAAGUCAGACUUGCUUGCCGGAGCUUGCUUCGGUUUGCAGGCCAGCAUCAGUUUUCCGGGGUGGAUAAUGACGGUUUGAAGGUAGCAGUCUCGGCUGUGUUAUAGCUUUCCGUUGGAUACAUCCUGGGGGACUGAGGAACGCAGCGUGCUUUUUGCGAAAGACUCGUCUUUUUCACGCUUAGGAUGCUGGUGGAAUGGCUUUAAACGACCCGCUGA
RNAcentral lists this ribosomal RNA (560 nucleotides) under Rhodotorula glutinis. Its description in RNAcentral is "eukaryotic LSU rRNA". It matches the Rfam family "Eukaryotic large subunit ribosomal RNA", at positions 81 to 657 of the family's 3401-position model. Lineage: Eukaryota; Fungi; Basidiomycota; Microbotryomycetes; Sporidiobolales; Sporidiobolaceae. The record is from RNAcentral.